This is a long non-coding RNA of Sebastes umbrosus (honeycomb rockfish), 1945 nucleotides long. RefSeq lists it as uncharacterized. NCBI's taxonomy places the organism in Eukaryota, Metazoa, Chordata, Actinopteri, Perciformes, Sebastidae. The record is from RefSeq and is a predicted model, not a curated record. The transcript has 2 exons.
ACAGGGAGCCACAUGAGAGCGGCUGAAGAGCGGCUGAAGAGCCGCAGGUUGCAGACCCCUGCUUUAGGUGGUGUUAACCUUGGAGUGAUGUGUACAAUAGUCGUGACCCCUUUUAUUCUGAAAAGCUCUGACCGGAACUUCUAGUCCUCCUAUUUCCGGUGAAACAUAAACAUAAACAGCUCGGUGAUGAAGACAGGCUGCUUACGGUGGACAGUUUGAGAUACACAGUGGUGGAUGUUUCCCUACCCUGGAUCUCUCCACUCCAGUGUAGAAAAUAAUGGAAACACCAUAUGACAGAAGACUUUGGAGCACCUAAGUCUUACAGGACCUGCUACCUGCCUGCCAGUUGGGAUCAUCUGUCCACUGUCAACACUUAUUUUCAACGCAAUAUGAGUGACUUAACAGAAUUUGAAAGAUGCCAAAUAGUUGCUGCACGACUAUCAGGUGCAUCUGUCACAAAAACUGCACAGCUGUUUAAUGUGGCGAGGGGAACAGUAUCCAGAGUCAUGACCGUGUACAUCAAACAUGGACGAACAGCAUCAGCGAAGAAGAAUAGCGGGCGCAGGUCAAAGCUCACCGAAAAGGACAGACAGACACUUCUCAGGAUAGUCGACGAGCACCCGGAGUAUACGGCCUCAAAAAUAACCACAGAGUUGAACAGACACCUCUCUCACACCGUCUCAGUAAAGACUAUACGGCGUGAGCUUCACAAAGCCGGUAUUUUUCGGGGAGCAGCCAGUCGGAAACCAGAGACCGAGACUGAGACAGAGAAGCCAGAUGGAAAUAACAACACACCUGACACAGAUUGUGGCACACAGAAACCUGGUGAAGAGAGCACAAGACCUGAAAUGCAAACAAAUGACAAAGAUUAUGGCACACAAACAUCCGUGGGAGACAAAACAAUAUCUGAACCCCAGGCUAGUGCCAAAGAGUACAACACAGAAAAAUCUGAAGAGAGAAUACAACUCUAAUCCCAAGUCUGUGAAGAAGAGUACAGCACACAAACGACUGGUGAAGAGAGCACAGGACCUGAACCUCAGACUAGUGAAAAGGAAUAACCUGUUACAUUUCAGCCUUUCCAUAUUGGUAGUGUUAAGGGAAAACCACAGAAUGCCUUCAUCCCUUAAUGUUGCCAACUGUUGAAUGUGACCAUUGAUCUGAAAUGACAUUUCAUUUUCUAGAUUUUAUUAUUUAUUUUUUGCGUGCAUGCAUAAUUGUGCAAUAUUCUGCCUUUUCCCAAGCUUUUUCAAUUUUCCUGAAUUACAUGUAAACAUAAUUUAAAUGUAGACUGUUGAGAAAUAGCCUUAAUAGUUUAAAAUAUCCAUAAUGUGAAUGUUUAACAGCUUAUUAGGAUAUUGUUUGCAAAACACUCAAUUCAAUACAGAUAAUAAAAUCCCAAAAAUCACAGUUUGUUCCCGAUUUGUAGACCAACGCCGUGCUGUGAUGAUAUCUGCUGUUUUACACCAUAUUGUGAUUGUUUGUGUUGUACUGUAAAGCAUGGCCUUUUUGGGGUUAUACAGUAUGUAUCAAAAAAACUCUUAACGAUAAGGUGUGAAAUCAAGCAGCAACUACAAUCCUGCAAGAGUCUUAAAAUAUAGUUCCUCUACUGUCACCGUAAAAAAAAAAAAGAAGCUUACUUUUUGAAAUAUGAAGUUGUUGCAGAUAAAGCACCUUUGUCUACUUUUAUAAAAUGUAGAUGAUAUGAAAUGUUUGACAUAUUCACAGGCACUACUUACUCUUUGCUGCAAAUGUAUUGAGUGAUAAUUGAUACACCAUAAGGUAUUGAAUCUGAAUCAUCACAUCCCUCCCAUGCUACCUCUUUGCUUCUGUAUACUAAAUGUCAUGUUUAUAGCAGCUGCAUGUGCAUAGAUGUGGGAUGGGACACAAGGCAUCAGGCAACAUAUGUAAUUUUGUUCUACAUAUUAAAACAUUACACUGAAAAAAA